CCUACGGGGGGCAGCAGUGGGGAAUAUUGGACAAUGGGCGAAAGCCUGAUCCAGCCAUGCCGCGUGUGUGAAGAAGGCCUUCGGGUUGUAAAGCACUUUCAGUGGGGAAGAAAGCCUUGGGGCUAAUACCCUCGAGGAAGGACAUCACCCACAGAAGAAGCACCGGCUAACUCCGUGCCAGCAGCCGCGGUAAUACGGAGGGUGCGAGCGUUAAUCGGAAUUACUGGGCGUAAAGCGCGCGUAGGCGGUCUGAUAAGCCGGUUGUGAAAGCCCCGGGCUCAACCUGGGAACGGCAUCCGGAACUGUCAGGCUAGAGUGCAGGAGAGGAAGGUAGAAUUCCCGGUGUAGCGGUGAAAUGCGUAGAGAUCGGGAGGGAUACCAGUGGCGAAGGCGGCCUUCUGGACUGACACUGACGCUGAGGUGCGAAAGCGUGGGUAGCAAACAGGAUUAGAUACCCGGGGUAGUC
RNAcentral lists this ribosomal RNA (466 nucleotides) under Vreelandella stevensii. RNAcentral's name for it is "partial 16S ribosomal RNA". It matches the Rfam family "Bacterial small subunit ribosomal RNA", at positions 338 to 795 of the family's 1533-position model. The record is from RNAcentral. Lineage: Bacteria; Pseudomonadati; Pseudomonadota; Gammaproteobacteria; Oceanospirillales; Halomonadaceae.